This is a long non-coding RNA of Alosa sapidissima (American shad), 264 nucleotides long. RefSeq lists it as uncharacterized. The transcript is spliced from 3 exons. The record is from RefSeq and is a predicted model, not a curated record. Lineage: Eukaryota; Metazoa; Chordata; Actinopteri; Clupeiformes; Clupeidae.
UAGGCCAGGAGAGGGGAGUACUAGAACACUGUAGCUGCUGACGAUGUAAAAGUAUAGCAUGAUGAAAAGAAGAGGGACCAGACAGGAUAUUAAAAAAGACUAUGAGAGAUAAAAUGUUCAAAUUCAUACCAGCUUGUCCAGAAAUCACUUUCCAAGGAUUACUCAGCCCUUAUAAUAAAAAUACAAACAAUUAGGAUUACAACAAUUACAACAAUAAGCUUACAAAACUACACUAACUACAGUACAUAAUAAUGGUACAUGAAU